AUUCUUGGUCAUUUAGAGGAAGUAAAAGUCGUAACAAGGUUUCCGUAGGUGAACCUGCGGAAGGAUCAUUACUGAAGUUUUAUAACGAGUUGUUGCUGAUUUCGUGCACGCUUGUUAUUCUUCAUUUCUCCAUUAUUUGUGCAUCACUUGUGUGGAUCUUUGUCCGAGUUCAUCUCGGACGAUUGGGGACUGCUUUGCAAAGUUACUAUUUGUGGGGCUUUCCUUGUAUCUGCAUGUUUUUCACAUACACCAAAUGUUUAGAAGGAAAUAAAUUUGAAUUUUUAUACAACUUUCAGCAACGGAUCUCUUGGCUCUCGCAUCGAUGAAGAACGCAGCGAAAUGCGAUAAGUAAUGUGAAUUGCAGAAUUCAGUGAAUCAUCGAAUCUUUGAACGCAUCUUGCGCUCCUUGGUAUUCCGAGGAGCAUGCCUGUUUGAGUGUCAUUAAUAUCUCAACCACAUCUUGUGGCUUGGACUUGGAGGAAUGUGCAGGCUCUGACUCUCGUAGUCUGCUCCUCUGAAAAUUAUAAGCGGUACCUACAUUGGAACUUUGGCUAGGUGUGAUACAUAUCUGCAUCUAAUCGAGGUCACCUAUUGGUUAUGCUGCUGAUCAUUACGACUUGAUAAACUUGACCUCAAAUCAGGUAGGACCACCCGCUGAACUUAAGCAUAUCAAUAAGCGGAGGAAAUC
RNAcentral lists this ribosomal RNA (688 nucleotides) under uncultured Inocybe. RNAcentral's name for it is "eukaryotic LSU rRNA". The stretch from base 288 to 441 matches the Rfam family "5.8S ribosomal RNA". Lineage: Eukaryota; Fungi; Basidiomycota; Agaricomycetes; Agaricales; Cortinariaceae. The record is from RNAcentral.